GGAGAGGUGCUGGAGUGGUCUAUCAGGAGCGCCUGCUAAGCGCUUGUCUCGGCUAAAACCGGGACCGUGGGUUCGAAUCCCACCCUCUCCGCCA
Molecule: transfer RNA, 94 nt
Filed under: Candidatus Aminicenantota bacterium
Lineage: Bacteria; Candidatus Aminicenantota
Also listed under: 1 other name
Description: Candidatus Aminicenantes bacterium (hot springs metagenome) tRNA-Ser
Rfam family: tRNA
About the family: Transfer RNA (tRNA) molecules are approximately 80 nucleotides in length. Their secondary structure includes four short double-helical elements and three loops (D, anti-codon, and T loops).
Source: RNAcentral